This 575-nucleotide ribosomal RNA is filed under the name Wolbachia pipientis. RNAcentral describes it as "bacterial LSU rRNA". It matches the Rfam family "Bacterial large subunit ribosomal RNA", at positions 2342 to 2925 of the family's 2925-position model. The record is from RNAcentral. Lineage: Bacteria; Pseudomonadati; Pseudomonadota; Alphaproteobacteria; Rickettsiales; Anaplasmataceae.
CUUGAUAGUAUAAUGGCAUAAGCUUGCCUGACUGCGAGGCUGACAAGCCAAGCAGAGACGAAAGUCGGUCAUAGUGAUCCGGUGAUUCUGUAUGGAAGGGUCAUCGCUCAACGGAUAAAAGGUACGCCGGGGAUAACAGGCUGAUGGUGUUCGAGCGUUCAUAGCGACAACACCGUUUGGCACCUCGAUGUCGACUCAUCACAUCCUGGGGCUGAAGAAGGUCCCAAGGGUUCGGCUGUUCGCCGAUUAAAGUGAUACGUGAGUUGGGUUUAGAACGUCGUGAGACAGUUCGGUUUCUAUCUGCCGUGGGUGAAGGAAAUUUGAGAAGGUCUGACUCUAGUACGAGAGGACCGAGAUGGAUAUACCUCUGGUGUACCAGCUGUUAUGCCAAUAGCAUCGCUGGGUGGCUAUGUAUAGAUGGGAUAAUUGCUGAAAGCAUAUAAGCAAGAAACCCUCUUCAAAAAGAUUUCCCAAUUAAGGCCGUGGAAGACUACCACGUUGAUAGGCUAGGUGUGGAAGCAUGGUAACAUGUGAAGCUAACUAGUACUAAUAGCCUGAUUGAUUUAUUUGCUUUC